Molecule: ribosomal RNA, 474 nt
Filed under: Enterococcus faecium
Lineage: Bacteria; Bacillati; Bacillota; Bacilli; Lactobacillales; Enterococcaceae
Description: bacterial SSU rRNA
Rfam family: Bacterial small subunit ribosomal RNA
Source: RNAcentral
UUGAUCCUGGCUCAGGACGAACGCUGGCGGCGUGCCUAAUACAUGCAAGUCGUACGCUUCUUUUUCCACCGGAGCUUGCUCCACCGGAAAAAGAGGAGUGGCGAACGGGUGAGUAACACGUGGGUAACCUGCCCAUCAGAAGGGGAUAACACUUGGAAACAGGUGCUAAUACCGUAUAACAAUCGAAACCGCAUGGUUUUGAUUUGAAAGGCGCUUUCGGGUGUCGCUGAUGGAUGGACCCGCGGUGCAUUAGCUAGUUGGUGAGGUAACGGCUCACCAAGGCCACGAUGCAUAGCCGACCUGAGAGGGUGAUCGGCCACAUUGGGACUGAGACACGGCCCAAACUCCUACGGGAGGCAGCAGUAGGGAAUCUUCGGCAAUGGACGAAAGUCUGACCGAGCAACGCCGCGUGAGUGAAGAAGGUUUUCGGAUCGUAAAACUCUGUUGUUAGAGAAGAACAAGGAUGAGAGUAAC